AAGUCGUAACAAGGUUUCCGUAGGUGAACCUGCGGAAGGAUCAUUAAUGAGAAUCGGCUUCACUGCCGUGGGGGCUUCGGCCCCCGACUCACACCCUGUGAAUACGUAUCUCUUUUGCUUCGGUGGACCCCGCGGGGUGACCCGCGCCCGCCAGAGAAGCCCCAUUUACAUCCUGUUUGAUCAGUGUCGUCCGAGCAAAAAACAUAAAUGAAUCAAAACUUUCAACAACGGAUCUCUUGGUUCUG
Molecule: unclassified non-coding RNA, 245 nt
Filed under: fungal sp.
Lineage: Eukaryota; Fungi
Description: partial internal transcribed spacer region
Rfam family: Eukaryotic small subunit ribosomal RNA (bases 1-46)
Source: RNAcentral